GUAAAAUCACAUAUCGUUCGCCGGGCAUCGUGUUUCAUGCGUUCUCUUCGUCAAUUCGACAGCAAAUAAGUAUCAAAUGCAUGAAGGGGAAGAACAAGCACUGGAGUGAUCUCUAAGUAAAUGAACUCCACAUUGGAUUUGAAUGAAGUGAAUUGAAGUCAGAUUUUAAUGAAGCGAAAAAAAUCGGAUUUAAAUGCUAAUCACUGGUAAAGGCGGAAGCAGGGAAAGUGACAAGGAAUGUAAAAGAAUGGAAAUUUUCCAUGGAGCCCGGAACCGUGCGACUGAGAUAAGGAAAGAUUUACUUUUUGGUUUUUGAUUUCAACAGUAGCGUACAAGAGACGAUAAUUUCGUGGCGCACAUAUUCAUAUAUUCAUGUUAACAGACCUAU
Molecule: long non-coding RNA, 388 nt
Organism: Dendronephthya gigantea
Lineage: Eukaryota; Metazoa; Cnidaria; Anthozoa; Malacalcyonacea; Nephtheidae
Exons: 3
Source: RefSeq, a predicted model, not a curated record